RNAcentral lists this long non-coding RNA (1516 nucleotides) under Zea mays. Its description in RNAcentral is "long non-coding RNA (ZMAY_LNC004016)". Lineage: Eukaryota; Viridiplantae; Streptophyta; Magnoliopsida; Poales; Poaceae. The record is from RNAcentral.
UACCACCUAUUGCACUGCUGCUUUUGUCUCCCCCACCUCUGCUCCUGCGCAUAUAGAGUACAUAAAGUAGGCCUUCGAAACCUUCGACAUUUAGAGAUUAAGCACGAGAUAGGCGCCCAAUUAAGUUUAUGGGAAGCGCUCAGCGCAACUGCUUUGCCUUCUUCCUGGUGAUGUCUAUGUACUACACUGCAUCGCUAGCUACAUUGUGUCAACCUGAUUGACUAUAUUGAAUAGCUACAUAGUGAUCAUUUUGACUGAUCCGCAGAACAACGCCUUCGGUGUCCUCAGCACACACUACAAGGUACACUUUUAUAUCUAUCCUUUUCUUUUAUUUAUGUUGCUUGCCUGAGUGUUUCUCCUUGCGAUGGAUGAAUGUGUUUUUUCUUCCGAUAAACUACCAAAUAUUUUUAAGUAAAUUAUUUCUUUUAAAACUAAUCACACAUGUCAUUUUUUGACUUCACUUUGCAGAUUAUUUAUCUAAAAUUCCUACUAAGUGCAAUAAUCCAAAAACUUGAUAUGUGUAGGAAUUUUAAUAGUGCUGGCUUGUUGUUACACUUAAACCUAAAAUUAUUUUUUAUGGUUCAAAUUAUAAGAGAUGUUGUGCUAAGAUGACUGUAUGGCUAACAACCAUGAAAGUAUAUCACGUGGAAACAUGUAAGCCUAAAGGAAUGGCUUCUAACUCUUGUGAGGAGAAGUCAUUUGAGCCUAUCGAAAACCUUUUUAGAGGUGCUAUAAUAAGCACUCUUAUUGAGAACAUAGUGAAUUGUUACCUGCACUUGUUCACUACUCAAGAGAUGUAGGAUGCACUUGCUGCAAAAUUUGGGGUCUCUAUUACAAAUAGUGAGCUACAUAUUAUGGAGAAGUUCUAUGACUACAGGAUGGUUAAAAACCAUUCUAUGAUAGAAUAAGCCCAUCAGAUUUAGCAGGUUGCAAAAGAGCUCGUGCCUUUUCCUUACAUGUUGCCUAACAAGUUUAUGGUUGGAUGCAUCAUUGCUAAGUUACCACCUUCUUGGAGGUAUUUUGCUACUUCUCUAAUGCAUAAGAGACCGGAUUAGAACAUUGUUGAUCUAAUUGGUUGUCUUGAUGUUGAGGACAAGACAAGAGAAAAGUACACAUGCAUGAAAGGUAUUAAGGGAAAUUCUAGUGCAAAUAUGGUGCAGAAAAAGAAUUUAUGCCCUUAAAAGAAGUCCAAAGGCAAACCUAGGAAGGUCAAUGGCUAUCAAAUAGUCGGUUUCAUGAAUAGGAAGGUAAACAAGAAAGGAGAAUGCUUUUAUAUGUGAUUGGUCUGACCAUUGGGCUAAGUAUUUCCUAGAACGCAAGGACAAGCAAAAGAAAUCAACAAAUGUUGUUACUACUAGCAUAGAAGGUGGAGCUACUGGGUAUAUACCCUUAGUUCUUUUAGAUAGUCGUUUACAUGAUUUGUGUAUUAACACCAGAGCAAGCAUACUUAUGUGUGUUGAAUGUUCCUUGUUUUCUUGUUACCAUGCUAGAAGGACAUCCUCCAUGCUGAUGGGAA